RNAcentral lists this non-coding RNA (172 nucleotides) under uncultured Prevotella sp. The record is from RNAcentral. Lineage: Bacteria; Pseudomonadati; Bacteroidota; Bacteroidia; Bacteroidales; Prevotellaceae.
CCGGUUCACGCCCAUGCGUGAUGAAAAGGGAACGGGGUGAGAAUCCCCGACAGACCCGCUGCUGUGUGCGGUCCGUCACGAUAAAGCGAACACACGAUAGCCACUGACAUUUUCUUCGGGAAGGCUGUUUGCUUUGUCUUUGACCGCGAGCCAGAAGACCUGCCUGCGACGC